GAUGAACGCUGGCGGCGUGCCUAAUACAUGCAAGUCGAGCGAACGGACGAGAAGCUUGCUUUUCUGAUGUUAGCGGCGGACGGGUGAGUAACACGUGGAUAACCUACCUAUAAGACUGGGAUAACUUCGGGAAACCGGAGCUAAUACCGGAUAAUAUUUUGAACCGCAUGGUUCAAAAGUGAAAGACGGUCUUGCUGUCACUUAUAGAUGGAUCCGCGCUGCAUUAGCUAGUUGGUAAGGUAACGGCUUACCAAGGCAACGAUGCAUAGCCGACCUGAGAGGGUGAUCGGCCACGCUGGAACUGAGACACGGUCCAGACUCCUACGGGAGGCAGCAGUAGGGAAUCUUCCGCAAUGGGAGAAAGCCUGACGGAGCAACGCCGCGUGAGUGAUGAAGGUCUUCGGAUCGUAAAACUCUGUUAUUAGGGAAGAACAUAUGUGUAAGUAACUGUGCACAUCUUGACGGUACCUAAUCAGAAAGCCACGGCUAACUACGUG
This 497-nucleotide ribosomal RNA is filed under the name uncultured bacterium. RNAcentral's name for it is "partial 16S ribosomal RNA". It matches the Rfam family "Bacterial small subunit ribosomal RNA", at positions 28 to 507 of the family's 1533-position model. The record is from RNAcentral.